GCCUUGAGACUUUAAAGUUUUACGAAUUAGUAUAUAGACAUAGCCUCCUAAAUUGUUAAGAAAAUAUAUAUAUAAUUUUUUUUUACUAAAAUGUCUAUAGCCUCAAGAUCUUAGCGUCUCAAUGUAACUAACCUGAUUAUUCUCUGUUUAAUAGCAGCUAUCUUUUCUGGAGGAGUUGCUAUGUGAACAGAGAAUUCAACCGCAUCUCCCAUAUCAGGACUUCGGAAGUAGUUAGCUAUAGGUUUUGUCCCAAGAACACUAUUCGGGUAUAUGAUCUUUUGAUUAUCGUACCGCAAGAAAACAGUUGUCAAUAUGUUCAUUUCUUCCACAACCAACUGGUAAAAGAAACAACAAGAUUAGAACCAUGUCACACUAUUUAAAUAAGUCCAGCAGAUUAUUGUAUUAGGAGGGAACAAACCUGAACACCGUCAAUUUCGCAGCGGUCACCAACAUCAAAUGGGUGCAUAACGAAAAGGAAAAUGAUGGCUUCAAAGAUGGUUUUGCAUGAGUUUCCGAAUAUAAAGGCUACUAGAAGUAGCUGAGAGCUUAAGACUAGCAAGAACUUGGUUGUGGCGAUUCCUAGUAUAAGAAGCCAAAUGAUAAUGAUUAUAAUGCUAAUCAACACAUUGAUUAUGCGGUGAAGCCUGUUCACUGCUGUCUUUGUGUCGUUUAAGGUCAAUGCCAGAGCCCUCCGUUCUCUAAAUGCCUUAACCUGUGAAAAAAACGUCAAGAUAACUCUGUUUUGCAUAUGAAAAGAAUCUUGACAUAUAUAUCUAAUUUAGAACUUACCACCCAAUUCUUGAGGCAAGACUUGCUGAUCCUAAGGCUCUCUGAAGCUCCUUCAAAGAGAGCCAUGGCUCUUUCAGACUCCUCUUCAGACAGAAACCGCAAGAAGUCUUCCAUAUGUAUGUACCUAAAACCCGAUAAAAAGAAACUCAAGAUUUAAGCAUAAACCAUACUAAAAUUUUGGAGCUGUAGAUAAUUUAGUAAGAAUUUAAAUAAAUUUUGUUUUAUACAUUUUGAAAAAAUGUUUAUGGAUAUUAACUUUUAAAACAUUGAAGUGAUACGUCAAUGUUUCACUUGUCUAUGCACACUAAUGAUCAACUUCAAGAUAUAUAUACCUGGAACCAGGCUCAGUGACAUUGUGAAAAAUCUUCUUAGCUGCAAUCUUUGCUUCGCACUCGCUUCUUAUCUGCGUAGCAUGCUCACUCUCCUCAACUGUGUCCUGCAUAUGUUCAUCCAAGGUAGAAAGAGCGCCUUUUCGUAUUAUAUUCAUCAACUUGGUCAUGUUCCAAGCAGACACAUUGUCUGUAUUCAUCCUCUGCAACUGAUCAAUCCUUAUCCCUUCACCAUCUCCUUCUUUGUCAGAACCAACCCGAGACAGUCUCUGACCUUUCCCGGCUUUCAUAAAACUCUUAACCGUCGCUUUUAGAGCUGGAGGCAACUUAGCUCCAGCCAGUUUCUCUAAACUCUUAACAUCAUCCGUUACUUUCUGCUCUUCUUCCUCCAUUCUCUGAAUCUCCAUCAAAGGAGGUCCAGAGAGGGUUUCAAUCACGUACUGAGUGAACAAUGAUUCUUGAAUCCUAUCAAAGUAAGUGCUCAUGUGGAAAGAUGAAGCAAGAACCUUGACCAGAAGUGUCUUAAUCAACCAAAUGAUCACAGCAACAAGGAGACAAACCAACACUCUCGUCACGUACCUAAUGGCAGUAGUCCGGGUCUCUCUUUCCACUUUCUUAUCGAACAAGAAGUGCCACGCAAGCAACACGAGCCCUAACCACAAGGUGUUUUGAACAGACUUUCUAACUCCGUAGACGAAAUACAAAACCCUCUUUCUCAAAACGAAGUUCUUCUCGGCCGAGAAGACGAGGAUCCUCACUAUCCAGCUCGAGACUAGUCUCCCGCAAAUCAACACCAAAACCGUCACUUCCCAUUUCCACAGGUCCAGCUUCCACCAUGUCUUGCGCCGCAAGCUAUGUACCGUUAAGCUACAGACCAAACUGGUGACUAUCAGAACUAAACUUAUCCAUUCGAGCAAAACCCAAAUGCUGAGUUUGUCUCUUUUGAACACGUCCGGUAAGUCCUCGUCCAGAAACGGAUCUUCCUCCUCGUCUUCCUCCAGCGUCCCGGUUCGAGAUGGAGUUCCCGGUUUAGGGCUUUUUCCGAGAAAACCGGUUUUCCGACCGGAUCUCAUCUCUGUUUUGUCGAUAGCUGGAUGCGUCGGUGUUGGAGGAUCCAUAAGUCUUGACUUCGUCUGGUUCCUCCUCAGUAACGGUUUCUUCACGACCUCUGCUUCGUCUCUGUUGGCCUUGUAGUGACGGCUCUCCUCGUCGCUGCUCCCACCGAGUGAGAUUCUGUUCUGUCUCCUUCUCACCGCGUCGGCUUUUCCUUUCGCCGUGAACGGAGAAGACCUCCAUGUACUAGAACAGUAUCAAAAAUGUCUUGAACCCCAUUUCAAUCACUAUAUACUUAUUCUUGAAUCACAAAUUACUACUUCCAGAGAAUAGAAAACUGUUACCAAACCACUCAUACAUAUAUAUAUACAUACACAAAAAUCAUAUUCUGCUUGCUUACGCGCAAUGAAAAAUCCCUUACUUCCCUUGCUCAACAAGUCUUUACAGUUCAGGCACCGCGUUGAUGCAAACAAGCUGGAGGCAGACGGUCAGAAGUACCCGGAGUCACCGGAGGGAAACUUUUAAUAUUAAUGCCUUGAGGAUAUAAACGAUACUCAAUAUCAAGCUCUCUACAAGCUUUCCCAACUUCCUCUAGUAAUUGACUUCUCCUUAUAAACCUCUCUCCCAUGUCUUGAAAAUUCAUUCUGUGUGUCAACCACACCGCAAUCUUCACGCUUUUCAAGUCAUCCAUGUUUAGGAACACAAUCAUAGGUGCCGGAUACCAAUGAUCCUUCUUGAAGUCUAUAUAACUGCAUGAAAAAAAAACAAAUGAAAGUUUGGCCUUGAGACUUUAAAGUUUUACGAAUUAGUAUAUAGACAUAGCCUCCUAAAUUGUAAAGAAAAUAUUAUUUUUUUUUACUAAAAUGUCUAUAGCCUCAAGAUCUUAGCGUCUGAAUUUAACUAACCUGAUUAUUCUCUGUUUAAUAGCAGCUAUCUUUUCUGGAGGAGUUGCUAUGUGAACAGAGAAUUCAACCGCAUCUCCCAUAUCAGGACUUCGGAAGUAGUUAGCUAUAGGUUUUGUCCCAAGAACACUAUUCGGGUAUAUGAUCUUUUGAUUAUCGUACCGCAAGAAAACAGUCGUCAAUAUGUUCAUUUCUUCCACAACCAACUG
RNAcentral lists this long non-coding RNA (3282 nucleotides) under Brassica napus (rape). RNAcentral describes it as "long non-coding RNA (BNAP_LNC002589)". Lineage: Eukaryota; Viridiplantae; Streptophyta; Magnoliopsida; Brassicales; Brassicaceae. The record is from RNAcentral.